Molecule: long non-coding RNA, 839 nt
Organism: Rosa chinensis
Lineage: Eukaryota; Viridiplantae; Streptophyta; Magnoliopsida; Rosales; Rosaceae
Exons: 3
Source: RefSeq, a predicted model, not a curated record
AAAUUUCACCUCUGGUUUCUGACGAGGAAACUUGGUCGGCUCUCCAACAUGAAAAUACUUCUUUUCCAUCAAAAAAUUGAUGUAACUGUAGCUAAACCGAGAGAAGAGUAUUGUCAUCUCAGUAACCCUAUAGGAUAUAGCCACAGAGGUAUGAAAUUUGGAAGGGUUUUAUUUUUGAUUUGUCUAAAGCAACAAGAUCUCAACUUUUGUGUUGAUAAUAUAGUACAAGUUCAGCGUGCUCAUGUUCGUGUCCAUUUGGGAGAACUACUGGGAAUUCCACCUACAACACAAAUUUUUGACAUCCCAGAAAGCAAUGCUCCGGUAACUGAGUUGACAAUAGUUGACAUGUUAUGCUAUGCUCUUGAACAUGGCUGACAAAAAUCAUCCUCAUAAAAGACAGGUUCAAGCUGUGUCAGAAUUACUAUGUAUGCUCCUGUUGAUAGCAAUCUUGGGAUUGCUAAUAAGGGAUCGCCAUUGAAUUAGCCCUUGUGCCCAUAUCAGAACUUCACUUGAGUAGGGAAGUAUUGGAGAGGACAAAGGUUUAAUUUUUGCUGAGUUUACUUGUGGCUGAACACUUCCAUGUAUAUAUAGUGACUGGUCCAUAAUCGUAUCGUUUUCUAUUUGCAUUUGCAACUCUGUUAUCUCCGGCAACUCUCUGACAUGAAAUUUAACUCUUGCUGUCUGGAUUAUGUUUGGUGCAAAGUUAUUUUUGUUUUCUGUGGUAAAAGUCCUUUCUGCAAGCACCAAACAAGCAAAUUGUUUUGUGGCGCUGAACAUCAGCUAGAAGCCAACAAUUUUUUCUUUCACAGGAGAUUACAUUUGUCAAAGUGGUUUGGAGU